GGCCAGUUAGCUCAGUCGUUUGAGCGCGAUGCUGACAACAAUGACAACACUGACAUUGCGGGUUCGAUUCCCGCUCGGUCCC
RNAcentral lists this transfer RNA (82 nucleotides) under Apaloderma vittatum (bar-tailed trogon). It matches the Rfam family "tRNA". Rfam says of the family: Transfer RNA (tRNA) molecules are approximately 80 nucleotides in length. Their secondary structure includes four short double-helical elements and three loops (D, anti-codon, and T loops). The record is from Rfam by way of RNAcentral. Lineage: Eukaryota; Metazoa; Chordata; Aves; Trogoniformes; Trogonidae.